AUGCUUGCAUCUCUUGAGAGUGGCGAACGGGUGAGUAACACGUAGGUGAUCUACCGCAGGGUUGGGGAUAGCCCAUGGAAACAUGGGGUAAUACCGAAUACGUUGGGUCCGCUUUGGCGGACUCAAGAAAGGCGCUUCGGCGUCGCCCUGCGAUGAGCCUGCGCCCCAUUAGCUAGUUGGUAGGGUAAAGGCCUACCAAGGCGACGAUGGGUAGCCGGCCUAAGAGGGUGAUCGGCCACACUGGGACUGAGAUACGGCCCAGACUCCUACGGGAGGCAGCAGCUAAGAAUCUUCCGCAAUGGACGAAAGUCUGACGGAGCGACGCCGCGUGGGUGAAGAAGGCCGGAAGGUUGUAAAGCCCUUUUCUUGUUGAGGAAUAAGCACAGGAGGGAAUGCCUGUGCGAUGACGGUAGGCGAGGRAUAAGUCCCGGCCAAUCACGUGACAUCAGACCCGGUAACAUGUAUGGUAUGGGCGUUGUUCGGAAUCAAAUCAUCGUAAAGGGAACGUAAGCUAGGCGGCGAGCUAAGCCUGAUAGGAAACAGCGUAACUUAAGGGCCGGAGCGGGCUCGGAACUGCUUUACUUGAGUAGGGGAGGGGGAGCUGGAAUUCCAGGUGUAGGGGUGAAAUCUGUAGAUAUCUGGAAGAACACCGGCGGCGAAGGCGAGCUCCUGGCCAUGAACUGACGCUGAGGCGCGAAAGCGUGGGGAGCGAACAGGAUUAGAUACCCUGGUAGUCCACGCUGUAAACGAUGUGCACUAGGUGUUGGGCCACGAAGGUUCAGUGCCGGAGUUAACGCGUUAAGUGCACCGCCUGGGGAGUAUGCUCGCAAGGGUGAAACUCAAAGGAAUUGACGGGGGCCCGCACAAGCGGUGGAGCAUGUGGUUUAAUUCGAUGAUACGCGAGGAACCUUACCAGGGUUUGACAUAUGCCGGAAUGUGCAGGAGACUGCGCAGCCUUCGGGGCCGGUAUACAGGUGCUGCAUGGCCGUCGUCAGCUCGUGCCGUGAGGUGUUGGGUUAAGUCCCGCAACGAGCGCAACCCCUACCGUCUGUUGCCAGCAUUUAGUUGGGGACUCAGGCGGAACUGCCGGUGACAAACCGGAGGAAGGUGGGGACGACGUCAGGUCAUCAUGGCCCUUAUAUCCUGGGCUACACACGUGCUACAAUGGCCGGUACAGAGCGAAGCAACACCGCGAGGUAGAGCAAAUCGCAGAAAGCCGGUCUCAGUUCGGAUUGGAGUCUGAAACCCGACUCCAUGAAGUUGGAAUCGCUAGUAAUCGCGCAUGGGCAUGGCGCGGUGG
RNAcentral lists this ribosomal RNA (1300 nucleotides) under uncultured spirochete. RNAcentral's name for it is "bacterial SSU rRNA". It matches the Rfam family "Bacterial small subunit ribosomal RNA", at positions 76 to 1365 of the family's 1533-position model. Lineage: Bacteria; Pseudomonadati; Spirochaetota; Spirochaetia; Spirochaetales. The record is from RNAcentral.